This is a transfer RNA of Coniophora puteana RWD-64-598 SS2, 72 nucleotides long. It matches the Rfam family "tRNA". Rfam says of the family: Transfer RNA (tRNA) molecules are approximately 80 nucleotides in length. Their secondary structure includes four short double-helical elements and three loops (D, anti-codon, and T loops). Lineage: Eukaryota; Fungi; Basidiomycota; Agaricomycetes; Boletales; Coniophoraceae. The record is from Rfam.
GGCGGGUUGGCGUAAUGGUAACGCGCUAGUUUCCGGCGCUAGAGAUUCUGGGUUCGAGUCCCAGGCCUGUCG